UGGGGAAUAUUGCGCAAUGGGCGAAAGCCUGACGCAGCAACGCCGCGUGAGGGAUGACGGCCUUCGGGUUGUAAACCUCUUUCAGCAGGGACGAAGCGCAAGUGACUGUACCUGCAGAAGAAGCGCCGGCUAACUACGUGCCAGCAGCCGCGGUAAUACGUAGGGCGCAAGCGUUGUCCGGGUUUAUUGGGCGUAAAGAGUUCGUAGGCGGUCUGUCGCGUCGGAAGUGAAAACCCGGAGCUCAACUCCGGGCAUGCGUUCGAUACGGGCAGACUUGAGUGUUGCAGGGGAGACUGGAAUUCCUGGUGUAGCGGUGGAAUGCGCAGAUAUCAGGAGGAACACCGGUGGCGAAGGCGGGUCUCUGGGCAACAACUGACGCUGAGGAACGAAAGCGUGGGGAGCGAACA
RNAcentral lists this ribosomal RNA (407 nucleotides) under uncultured bacterium. RNAcentral's name for it is "bacterial SSU rRNA". It matches the Rfam family "Bacterial small subunit ribosomal RNA", at positions 355 to 774 of the family's 1533-position model. The record is from RNAcentral.